UACGGAGGAUGCAAGCGUUAUCCGGAUUUAUUGGGUUUAAAGGGUGCGCAGGUGGUUAAAUAAGUCAGUGGUGAAAGUCUGCCGCUUAACGGUAGGAUUGCCAUUGAUACUGUUUAACUUGAGUUUGGAUGAGGUAGGCGGAAUGAGUAGUGUAGCGGUGAAAUGCAUAGAUAUUACUCAGAACACCGAUUGCGAAGGCAGCUUACUAAUCCACAACUGACACUGAGGCACGAAAGCGUGGGGAUCAAACAGGAUUAGA
RNAcentral lists this ribosomal RNA (259 nucleotides) under uncultured prokaryote. Its description in RNAcentral is "partial 16S ribosomal RNA". It matches the Rfam family "Bacterial small subunit ribosomal RNA", at positions 524 to 782 of the family's 1533-position model. The record is from RNAcentral.